This 148-nucleotide non-coding RNA is filed under the name Listeria phage vB_LmoS_188. RNAcentral describes it as "Listeria sRNA rliG". It matches the Rfam family "Listeria sRNA rliG", at positions 1 to 162 of the family's 267-position model. Lineage: Duplodnaviria; Heunggongvirae; Uroviricota; Caudoviricetes. The record is from Rfam by way of RNAcentral.
AGAAAAAAUACAACAACAAAUCGAUGGAAGCUUGUUUUGUAUGGCAAUUUAGUAAUUUUUGCCGCACACCUGCCACCUAAUAGUGAGAAGUGAAGAUGAUUACAAAAAUAAAUCAUAUAUUGAGUCUGCGCUCCACUUCUCAUUUAUA